GGACGAACGCUGGCGGCGUGCCUAACACAUGCAAGUCGAGCGAGGAGAUCCUUCGGGAUGAUCCUAGCGGCGGACGGGUGAGUAACACGUGGGCAACCUGCCUCAUAGAGAGGAAUAGCCUUCCGAAAGGGAGAUUAAUACCUCAUAACAUUGCAGUUUCGCAUGAAACAGCAAUUAAAGGAGCAAUCCGCUAUGAGAUGGGCCCGCGGCGCAUUAGCUAGUUGGUGAGGUAACGGCUCACCAAGGCGACGAUGCGUAGCCGACCUGAGAGGGUGAUCGGCCACAUUGGGACUGAGACACGGCCCAGACUCCUACGGGAGGCAGCAGUGGGGAAUAUUGCACAAUGGGGGAAACCCUGAUGCCAGCAACGCCGCGUGAGUGAUGACGGCCUUCGGGUUGUAAAGCUCUGUCUUCAGGGACGAUAAUGACGGUACCUGAGGAGGAAGCCACGGCUAACUACGUGCCAGCCGCCGC
Molecule: ribosomal RNA, 474 nt
Filed under: uncultured bacterium
Lineage: Bacteria
Description: bacterial SSU rRNA
Rfam family: Bacterial small subunit ribosomal RNA
Source: RNAcentral